GGCAGAGGUUGUAUUCAUCAUGGUACUGACAGGGCAGAGGUUGUAUUCAUCAUGGUACUGACAGGGAAGAGGUUGUAUUCAUCAUGGUACUGACAGGGCAGAGGUUGUAUUCAUCAUGGUACUGACAGGGCAGAGGUUGUAUUCAUCAUGGUACUGACAGGGCAGAGGUUGUAUUCAUCAUGGUACUGACAGGGCAGAGGUUGUAUUCAUUAUGAUACUGACAGGGCAGAGGUUGUAUUCAUCAUGAUACUGACAGGGCAGAGGUUGUAUUCAUCAUGGUACUGACAGGGCAGAGGUUGUAUUCAUCAUGGUACUGACAGGGCAGAGGUUGUAUUCAUUAUGAUACUGACAGGGCAGAGGUUGUAUUCAUCAUGAUACUGACAGGGCAGAGGUUGUAUUCAUUAUGAUACUGACUGUGAUACUGACAGGGCAGAGGUUGUAUUCAUCAUGGUACUGACAGGGCAGAGGUUGUAUUCAUCAUGGUACUGACAGGGCAGAGGUUGUAUUCAUUAUGAUACUGACAGGGCAGAGGUUGUAUUCAUCAUGAUACUGACAGGGCAGAGGUUGUAUUCAUUAUGAUACUGACUGUGAUACUGACAGGGCAGAGGUUGUAUUCAUCAUGGUACUGACAGGGCAGAGGUUGUAUUCAUCAUGGUACUGACAGGGCAGAGGUUGUAUUCAUCAUGGUACUGACAGGGCAGAGGUUGUAUUAAUCAUGGUACUGACAGGGCAGAGGUUGUAUUCAUCAUGGUACUGACAGGGCAGAGGUUGUAUUCAUCAUGGUACUGACAGGGCAGAGGUUGUAUUCAUCAUGGUACUGACAGGGCAGAGGUUGUAUUCAUCAUGGUACUGACAGGGCAGAGGUUGUAUUCAUCAUGGUACUGACAGGGCAGAGGUUGUAUUCAUCAUGGUACUGACAGGGCAGAGGUUGUAUUCAUCAUGGUACUGACAGUGCAGAGGUUGUAUUCAUCAUGGUACUGACAGGGCAGAGGUUGUAUUCAUCAUGGUACUGACAGGGCAGAGGUUGUAUUCAUCAUGGUACUGACAGUGCAGAGGUUGUAUUAAUCAUGGUACUGACAGGGCAGAGGUUGUAUUCAUCAUGGUACUGACAGGGCAGAGGUUGUAUUCAUCAUGGUACUGACAGUGCAGAGGUUGUAUUCAUCAUGGUACUGACAGGGCAGAGGUUGUAUUCAUCAUGGUACUGACAGGGCAGAGGUUGUAUUCAUCAUGGUACUGACAGGGCAGAGGUUGUAUUCAUCAUGGUACUGACAGAAAGGUUGUAUUCAUCAUGGUACUGACAGUGCAGAGGUUGUAUUCAUCAUGGUACUGACAGGGCAGAGGUUGUAUUCAUCAUGGUACUGACAGGGCAGAGGUUGUAUUCAUCAUGGUACUGACAGGGCAGAGGUUGUAUUCAUCAUGGUACUGACAGGGCAGAGGUUGUAUUCAUUAUGAUACUGACAGGGCAGAGGUUGUAUUCAUUAUGAUACUGACAGGGCAGAGGUUGUAUUCAUCAUGGUACUGACAGGGCAGAGGUUGUAUUCAUCAUGGUACUGACAGGGCAGAGGUUGUAUUCAUCAUGGUACUGACAGGGCAGAGGUUGUAUUCAUCAUGGUACUGACAGGGCAGAGGUUGUAUUCAUCAUGGUACUGACAGGGCAGAG
Long non-coding RNA from Oncorhynchus keta (chum salmon), 1660 nucleotides. RefSeq lists it as uncharacterized. NCBI's taxonomy places the organism in Eukaryota, Metazoa, Chordata, Actinopteri, Salmoniformes, Salmonidae. The transcript is spliced from 3 exons. The record is from RefSeq and is a predicted model, not a curated record.